This 492-nucleotide ribosomal RNA is filed under the name uncultured bacterium. RNAcentral's name for it is "partial 16S ribosomal RNA". It matches the Rfam family "Bacterial small subunit ribosomal RNA", at positions 29 to 507 of the family's 1533-position model. The record is from RNAcentral.
AGUGAACGCUGGCGGUAGGCCUAACACAUGCAAGUCGAACGGCAGCACAGUAAGAGCUUGCUCUUACGGGUGGCGAGUGGCGGACGGGUGAGGAAUACAUCGGAAUCUACUUUUUCGUGGGGGAUAACGUAGGGAAACUUACGCUAAUACCGCAUACGACCUACGGGUGAAAGCAGGGGAUCUUCGGACCUUGCGCGAUUGAAUGAGCGGAUGUCGGAUUAGCUAGUUGGCGGGGUAAAGGCCCACCAAGGCGACGAUCCGUAGCUGGUCUGAGAGGAUGAUCAGCCACGCUGGAACUGAGACACGGUCCAGACUCCUACGGGAGGCAGCAGUGGGGAAUAUUGGACAAUGGGCGCAAGCCUGAUCCAGCCAUACCGCGUGGGUGAAGAAGGCCUUCGGGUUGUAAAGCCCUUUUGUUGGGAAAGAAAAGCAGCAGGUUAAUACCCCGCUGUUCUGACGGUACCCAAAGAAUAAGCACCGGCUAACUUCGUG